This is a long non-coding RNA of Aedes albopictus (Asian tiger mosquito), 356 nucleotides long. RefSeq lists it as uncharacterized. The record is from RefSeq and is a predicted model, not a curated record. The transcript has 4 exons. NCBI's taxonomy places the organism in Eukaryota, Metazoa, Arthropoda, Insecta, Diptera, Culicidae.
UGACAAAUCAGAUUUUGACGAGAUCCAUGGUAAACAGUGGCAAACCGGGCAACCAAUAUUGAAAUCGGAAUCCUAGCUCUAAUUUGUGGACAUUUUCCCCUUUUUUCUUUAUUAACUAUUGCAUUAAUUGAAUAAUUUUUCCUGAAGGGGUUAAAACUUAAGGCCUAAAACCAAUUUGUGAAACUACAUUUCUUCUUAAAAAUUAGGGUCAGGCUAGCUGAAUCGGGCCGAGCAGGGAUUAUUUGAUCGCGCACAAACACUGAAUGUUUUAAAGCUGUACUGCACCAACAGUCGUGUUUUUUGUGCUGCUAAGAACGCAGUGUCGCGUGCCUAUCUCUGAUCCCCAUCAACAGCAG